GGGUAGUAAACUAACAAAACAGUAGCUCCAAUGCCAUAAUUCAUAUUCAAACGGAGAAAAAUCAACUUAGAUGUGUAGUAAACUUUUACUGGGGGUAGUAACCUUGCAAAACAGUAGCUCCAAUGCCAUUAUACACAUUAAAACAAUGAAAAAUCAACUUAAAUGUGAAAAAAUAAAAUUUACUACCCCCAGUAAACUUUACUGGGGGUAGUAAACUUGCAAUACAAUAUUUUCCUAGUCAGUAUAUACAUUAAAACACAAAAAAAAUCAACUUAGAUGCGGACAAAUAAAGUUUACUGCCCCUAGUAAACUUCUAUUGGGGGUAGUAAACCUGCAAUACAAUAUUUCCUAGGUCAGUAUACACUUUAAAACAACAAAAACCCAACUUAUAUGCGAAAAAUUAAACUUUUACUGGACCUAGUAAACUUUUACUGGGGGUAGUAAACAUGCAAUACAAUAUCUCCAUAGUCAUUAUACACAUUAAAAUAGAGAAAAAAAAUUAACUUAUAUGCUGAAAAGUAAACUUCUACUGGGGGUAGUAAACAUGCAAUACAAUAUCUCCAUAGUCAUUAUACACAUUAAAAUAGAGAAAAAAAAUCAACUUAUAUGCUGAAAAGUAAAGUUUACUACCCCUAGUAAACUUCUAAUAGGGGAAGUAAACUUACAAUAAAGUAUCUCAUUGACCAGUAGACACAGUAAAUUUACUACCUCCCAGUAAUAAAUCUAUUACCUCAGUAAAUCAUCAUUUUUAACCAAAGAAGUUGCUCUGGGCACCCAAAUUGAUUUUGACUUACGCCGGAGCUGAACCGCCGCAUUGGUGGACGCAGAGGGUCUGAUUCCAUGUCGGAGAUCCCUAGAGGAGGGAGGAGGGAGGUGGAGGGUGAACUAGAAGAGCNNNNNNNNNNNNNNNNNNNNCCAAAACUUCCUAAAAUUAGUAACUAAAUAGGCAUUUGUUACUUUUAAAAAAUCAUUAUGAAUUCUACCAAAGUUCAGAGGUAUUCAAUUAAGACUUUUUAAAAUGAAUAGAAGUUUAGAUGUAUUCAAAAUAUCAUUCAUACUUAUUGAAUUAAUAACUCAUGGAUAAUUGUGGACUUUAUAGUGUAAAUUAC
RNAcentral lists this long non-coding RNA (1109 nucleotides) under Fragaria vesca (wild strawberry). RNAcentral's name for it is "long non-coding RNA (FVES_LNC000858)". Lineage: Eukaryota; Viridiplantae; Streptophyta; Magnoliopsida; Rosales; Rosaceae. The record is from RNAcentral.